This 381-nucleotide unclassified non-coding RNA is filed under the name uncultured Actinomycetes bacterium. RNAcentral's name for it is "uncultured actinobacterium contains 16S-23S intergenic spacer region". The record is from RNAcentral. Lineage: Bacteria; Bacillati; Actinomycetota; Actinomycetes.
UCCGAGUUGACCCCGGCAGUCUCCCAUGAGUCCCCGCCAUUACGCGCUGGCAACAUGGAACGAGGGUUGCGCUCGUUGCGGGACUUAACCCAACAUCUCACGACACGAGCUGACGACAACCAUGCACCACCUGUGUCCACGCCCCUUGCGGGGAGGAAUCCAUCUCUGGAAGCCGUCGUGGCAUGUCAAGGGCUGGUAAGGUUCUUCGCGUUGCGUCGAAUUAAGCCACAUGCUCCGCCGCUUGUGCGGGCCCCCGUCAAUUCCUUUGAGUUUUAGCCUUGCGGCCGUACUCCCCAGGCGGGAUGCUUAAAGCGUUAGCUACGGCACAGAGGGGGUCGAUACCCCCCACACCUAGCAUCCACCGUUUAGGGCGUGGACUAC